GACUGUUCUGGUGGCCUAGUGGUUAAAGCAUCCAUCUCAGCUGUGGAAUGUCAUGGGUUCGAACCAUGAUCAAGUCA
Potamilus streckersoni is the source of this 77-nucleotide non-coding RNA. The record is from the annotation of a GenBank genome assembly. Lineage: Eukaryota; Metazoa; Mollusca; Bivalvia; Unionida; Unionidae.